CUUCCAGUAGCACCUUAGAGACCAACUAAGUUUGUUAUUGGUAUGAGCUUUCAUGUGCAUGCAUACUUCUUCAGAUACCAAUCACAAACUUAGUUGGUCUCUAAGGUGCUACUGGAAG
Molecule: non-coding RNA, 118 nt
Organism: Podarcis lilfordi (Lilford's wall lizard)
Lineage: Eukaryota; Metazoa; Chordata; Lepidosauria; Squamata; Lacertidae
Source: the annotation of a GenBank genome assembly